AAUCGGAAAGACGAUUGAAUUAAUUAUAAGGACAAUAUUGAUGGAGUAACUAAUCUCAACAUCAUCGAUUUACACAAGAAGAAUCAGAUUGAAGUCUCUUAUACUAAAAUCCCAUGUUCUAUGGUAACUUGCCAAGGUGGUUGUUGCUGGUGCUAACUCUGUUCAAAUUAUCGGGGUAAUGGUAUUACAAUUCCAUCUCAGUACCAUCUUAGGACCGAAGUAGGGUAAAAGAAGUUAAACACGAACUCUGAUACCAGUGCAGAAAAUAUUCUGAAUAACUGUAUACGGACAACUGUUCACCCCAAGUAUCUUUCCGAAUGAUUGGUAAGUCAUUCUAGCUAUGCGUUACUGAACAGGUAAAUAGGAAAUUUGUUUCCAAUGGUUAUAUGCUAAUAUUUUUAUCAACACAAUGUACUCUUUAUAUGGAUUUGCAUCUUUCGUUUCUUAAGCAAUUUAUAGGUCCAUGACCGAAUCAGACUAUAUCCAUCUGCGUCUGUGUUUUUCAAAUUAUGUUAUAAGCUUACUAUAUCUUUAUAUCUAAAUAGUGUAAAUGUAAAAGAGUAAUAAUUUUCUACAAUUCUGUAACCCUUCACUGUUUUCCAUUAGCUUUGGUUCUUAUUAUGCAGUUGCUAUCUUUUGAUAUUCGUGGCAGUUCAGUUAGUCAUCUUCAUCAUGAAGUCUGUACAAUUUUCCAAGGUCAUUGCUAACAACUUGGUUGAGCUAGCUGGGGAAGGGAGUAAUAGCUGUAGUUAGAGGUGAUGGGUUGAUUGCAGCUACAGAAAAAGUAGGUCAGGCCAACUAUAUUUUCCACGUGUCCGCCAGAAGAGAGUAGUAAAAAUCGCCGGGGGUGCCGACUCGAUGGCAACUGUGGAGAAAGUAGGUCAGGAAGAACAAGAUGUGCCACAUGUCCACUAGAGGAGCCACAUGACUCUAGCUUCUAUUUUGAUACCAGUGAAGGGAUAUUUGUACACAUGGAUUUGUUCAAUUACGAAAAAAUGUUAAUUUUAUUGUUAACUGUUAGAUUGUAUGUUAUUUAUCAUAAUAAGCAUGGGUCUUUCGGCUGAACUGGGUUGUUUUUCUCCUUCGAUGCAGGCAUUUCCGAUAGAAUGAACGGGAAGAGGAUGUACAUUCUUAUUUUGAUAGCUUAUAUCCAGGAAACACACUUGGAUUUAUGGAAGGUGCGGAUUAAGUUUGUAGUUUCCUUGGCCUACACUUUUGCUCUCAUUUUUCUUGAACUUCAAAAUUCAAAAUUGUGAGGUUCUCCACUUUGUGAUAUAGAUUGAAGCUAGCUUGAUCUCCGGUUUUUGGCUAAUCAUCUUCUAAUCAGUUGAUCUUGAUCUCGACAAUUUAGGCUGCGAAUUAUACAUAACGAGUUUUGCAGCUUACUAUUGCUACUAUUGCUGCGGAAGAGAUUUCUCGUAAUGUAUCACGUUUUGGGAUUUUCAGUGCAACAUAUUACUUUUAAUGUAGUAUCAAACUUGGCAGCUUGACUUUGGGAUCUUCUCUUUUAGAUUUCAGGAUUUAAUUGAAAGCCUGCAGUUAGUAACUUCUUUUCACUAAGUACUCCGCACCAAAACAUUGUCCCUAGAAAUGUUAUUUAGAGCUGUUUGAUGUUUAUAGGAUGUUAAGUCCUAGGAUGUUUAUAGCCCCACCAGGGAAAUGUUUAUAGGAUGUUAAGACUUUUAGAUGUGCUGAACUUAUAAAUAUAGUUGUACAUACUUUCUGUUGCAUGUAGUUAGUGGAAAGGUGUUUAAAUGAAAGUAAGCGAUUAUCACAAUCAGAAAUAUAGUAGUACACUUAAUAAUUAUAUAGGCUUAUGCCCAUGAUUACUUAAGUAUUUUUGCUGCAGGGAAAUUUCGGGCACACCCAGUUACAUUUACAGGCUUAUAAAAAUAUAGUAAUAUUUUUGCUCGCAUACAGUUACCCCUUGAAGCUGGACUGAGGUUUUAUUCCAAUUUUAUACAGUUAUAUUGUUCCUUCGCUGCACUUUCUCUAAUUCAGUCUUCUAGAAAGCCAGAGAACGUAGGCUCCUCCAACGUGUGGAGAUAUUAUCGAUAACAACUCGAAUAUAGUCAUAUCUAUAGCAUUUUCAGUUGGGUUUGUUGUUGUUGUCAUCUAGCAAAAUAGCAAAGGAAGACCAGGUCGCGUCUUUCCGUACUGUAACUGUGAAGGUUAAAUCUUGAAAGUUGAAACAUUCGCUUUUAUUUUAUUUUGUUUUGAAUUUUUUAUUGCGAAGUUUUCAUAAUUUUACAUUAGUGUACCAAAACAGUGAUGGUAAAUUGAAUAACAAUAAUUACACAUCAUGGAACCUUUAAUAAACACGAUAAUCAUUUUUUCUAUUUCUAGAUAAACAUCUGCUAACUUGAAAGAUUUUCAGUGCAACUUAGCAAUGGGUUAGUAACAUGUUUGAAGUUGAACUGUCUUCACUUCGGUAUAGAAACCGGUUCUUAUUGGAUGAGGACAGGACAAUUCCUAUAAGUUGCUAGGUCUUGAGAUUCACCGAAACCUUUUCCUAGUUUGAUGUAUGUUGUUUAGUUGAAACUUUGCUGGCCCUAUGGAUAAGAUUUCACAAUGUUCACAGUAAAAAUCACUUCACUUUGAUUACUUUCAUUCGUUCAAUCUGCAGUUGGUUUUUCAAUAGUUAAUUAUACAUAUCUAGGUUUCAAUUAUCUUUUUUCCGGUCUGAAUUGGAUUUUAUGAUUUCCUUUCUUCAUUUUUUGGAUUUUGUAGGGGUUCAGAUGAAUUUUGGAGAUACUUUAACACCGCCACUUUGACUAUUUAUGAAGUAUUCUAUUUCUGCAUUCAUGCCAACACCACCAUUACGUCUCACAGACACUCCACGAAAGUUAUUCCUGUUCUGGGGUACUUUACAGGUCAAUUCUCUUACUCUCUCCCACUGUGUUUGUGUAGUAUCCUAUAUGGACAGGCUAUUAAUAUUAGCGACAUAAAGGUAUUGAGUUUGAUAAGAUGACUCCACUAUUUGAAUUGCUAUUAGAAGGUCGAUUAAAACAAUGUCUUUCCUUAAUUGGAUGUAUUUGAUCAACCCAUGAGGGGGAAGUGAUGGAAUCCUUAACUUAGCUGGUGUUUACAUCUUACUUUUCGGAUGCAAGACUUUUAAAGUUUUUUUACCAAUUUUGGGCAUGUAUGAUCAAUGUUAUAUAUUGAUGCUCGAAGUAUCCAUAUAACAUCUAGAAGUAGCCAGUGUCAUAAUUUGAGAUUCACAAAAUCUGCUUCGGGAUUGAAAAUAUAUUCAGCAAAGCUGAGAGUAGCUCAUGUGCAACUAAGAUUAAUAAUUUGAUGUUCAAUGUGAUCCACUAACCAUUUUAAAGGCGAGUUAAUUAGUUUCAUACACUCGAUACAUUGAUAACAUUGGUUCAUAUAAUAGCAUUUUGUUGUCCAUGGGUCUGUAUGGUAUGAAAUACAUGGUAGGAUUAUAUAUUUAUUUCCAAAUUUGUCAGACUGACUGAGAUUGGCUCUAUUUUUUGUUAGAAAAAUGUGUACCAUUUUGUUUUUCCUGUUUUUCAUGAAAGUUACGAGUUAGGAUUUUCAAUUUAGGUAGGAAUUUGUUGAGAAUCAAUCAGUACUAAAGUGAAGCGUGUUUGAUCAGAUUCUAAGUUUCGCCUAUACCUAAAUAUUUUGACUUUUUUUCCUUCCACUAAUUAUAGGAUCAAACUAUUUUGUGAUUAAGGUACUGUGGCACUGCUUAUGUUUGCAAUGUCUAAGCAUGUUGCUAUGAAAGACUGUUCUUUACUAAUUUAUUUUCUCUAAAUAUCUGAGGGUUUAUCUUGCAUACAAGUUGAAGUUCACUACAGGAGUAUAGAUUGGCGAGUUUCAAAGUAUGACUUUGAUGACUUGCUCCUGUUGAGAGAAUAUAUUGCACUUUAUGUGUUUGGGUGCUCGAGGAGGAAUGGCACUUCUUGCAGUAGUAUAUUAAAUUACGUGAUCACAUUUCAAAGAUGGGUACUAAAUUACAGGUUGUUUUAGCACAUUUUCGUCCCAGGCCAGACUUACAUCCAACUGUUUUAUCUCCCGACAUCGAGGUUUUAGGUUUCGUUCCAGGAGAUACAAAACAUUGUUCUGCUUGGUACUGUUGUUUCUGACAACCCUGCUAAUCCAAAGAAAAAAUGGGUUGCAAAUGACAAGCUUCAAUUUUUGAGCGAAGGAGCAGCAGCCAAAGAACACGGUUGAAUGAUGUCAUCGCGGCAUGUUCCCUGUUGAAAAGCUUGAGGUUCUGGCUGCUACAUGGACACCAGGGGAAAUAAUAAGGAAGUGAUACUAUGGAGCCUUUGAUGUCGUGAGACAGUUCACCUGGAUUUUUGAGUAGGCACUCAAUGAUCAUUCUUCAAGCUAAGGCUGAAAAGCUGGCAAGAUAAGCUUCAGAUGAGGGUUUUUUAAUAAAUAUUUGGUAAUGUGGAUUGAUGACUUCAACACUACAAUGUAGAACUCGGAUUUGUUAUCAGCGUACAUGAAGCAUUGUGUGAGGUACUUAUAUUUUCAGCCAUGACAUUGGAACUUUGAUGAAACUUCGAUAAUGAACCAGAAGCGCCACAUAUCACCAUUGUCAGGUUAGUUUUUUUUUUUCUUUAUCGACUUCAAUUAGUUUACACAUUUUAUUUUAUUAUUUUUGUUUUUGUCUCUUUUAUUCUCUUUAUUUAGUAAAUAUGAAGUGUUUGUCUUGGAACACUAAUAUUGGGUACGAUUUAAAAUGGUUGCAUGAUGUAGAUGUCAUUCUCAUGAUCUGUUUAUUCAUUGUGAAAAACAUUGUUAAGGAAUGUGUAAUUUUCAAAUUUGCACUUGAUUUA
This is a long non-coding RNA of Papaver somniferum (opium poppy), 4802 nucleotides long. RefSeq lists it as uncharacterized. The transcript has 7 exons. NCBI's taxonomy places the organism in Eukaryota, Viridiplantae, Streptophyta, Magnoliopsida, Ranunculales, Papaveraceae. The record is from RefSeq and is a predicted model, not a curated record.